CUAGUAACCCGAAUUUAGCUUGAACGGACAAAAACGUGUUAACGCUAUUUAAAUGAGAUUAAUCAUCAUUUGAUAAAGAUUGACAAAAAUUAAAAAUUAUUUUUAAUUUAUUUCAAUUCAUUUCAAUUCAUUUUAACGCCAGUCAAAUAGAUUUCUUUGCGGUCAAUCAAUUGAAAUCAAGUUGGUGGUAAUGUACGUCAAACUAAUAGGCC
Molecule: long non-coding RNA, 212 nt
Filed under: Mytilus galloprovincialis (Mediterranean mussel)
Lineage: Eukaryota; Metazoa; Mollusca; Bivalvia; Mytilida; Mytilidae
Source: RNAcentral